Girardinichthys multiradiatus is the source of this 3267-nucleotide long non-coding RNA. RefSeq lists it as uncharacterized. The record is from RefSeq and is a predicted model, not a curated record. NCBI's taxonomy places the organism in Eukaryota, Metazoa, Chordata, Actinopteri, Cyprinodontiformes, Goodeidae. The transcript has 3 exons.
CACCAGCUCCUCUGUGACCCAGUAUGGAAGAAGCAGGUUUAGAAAAUGCAUGGACGGAUGGAUGGAGGGAGGAUAGGAAACUCACAAAAACACAAGAAGAAGAGGAACAUGUGAGUCACAGACAUGCAGACAGGGAGUAUAAUGGGAGGCUCCUGUGGGGAGCAAUGAUAACAGGUCAGCUUAAAUACUGAGGGAUGAGGGGAGAAAUGACAUAUAAUGCAGGUGCGAGCAAUCAGGAGAAUAUGUGGAUCAGCUGGGCAGAAGGCAAGUGGGGAGACAGGGAAGGGAAACUUAUUGGCAUGAAUAGAGCUCAGCUGGGACACUAAAUGAGGGGAAAAGAAAAACAGAUGUAACAGAAUAAAUACUAAGUACAAUAAGAAUGAACUAAUACACUAAGCACAAACGAGUAACUUCUAUGGCAAGAAUAUUAUUGACACUAUUGGCUAUGUGAAAACAGAUUUGACAGUAUAGUUGUAUUUUCUUCAUUAAGUCAUUUCUUCAAAGCCUUCUUUUCCUAAUGUAUUUCUGCUGUGGUGUCAUUCUGUCCUGAUGACUGGAUAUAAUUUUUUGAAUUGGGCUUUUAUUUAACUAUUUUUGAGCAGAUCACUAUUUAAAAUUGUUGCAAAAUAUAACUCCCUUCUCUUUGAGGUUGCUUUAGAGUUAGAUUAUUCAGCAAUAUUAAUUUCAAUUAAUCAUCUGUUGGUAUCGGUGGAAAUAAUUAUCUGAUUGCAAAAAUAAUCCACGUUUAACAUGCACCAGUUAAUGCCACAGGUUAAGCUUCAUCUCAAUAAAGGUGCCACCACAAACAGCUCAACAAGUAGUUAUUUUUGGACAUACCCAAGCUUUGAAAUGACAUGGUGUAGGUGUCUUAUUAUUGUAACAGAUAAAAAAUAAAAAAUUUAGCUAAACUACUAAUGAGUUACUUAAAACAUACACAUUACUCAAUACCAGGACAAAUUGCUUUGCCUAGAGCCUAAGUGAAAUGUAUAUUAGUGACUCCUUAGGCUAGGUAAAAACAAAUCUCACAGUAUAGUUUUAUUUUCUUCAUAAAGAAUUUUUUUUCAAUGUCUCCUUUCAUAAUGUAUUCCUGCUGUGGUGUUAGUCUGUCUCUGAUGACUGAAUAUAAUUUCUUGAAUGGAGCUCUUACGGACGUAUAUUUGAGCAGAUAGUUAUUUGCUAUAUAACUCUCCUCUCUUUGUUCAGUCUAAUUGCUGCAAAAUGUAUCCAAUGAAAACUGCUCUGCUUGAGGUCUGUAGGGACAUUAUGAGGACAUGUUUUUUGGUAAUCAUAUUGAGUAGGAGAUUACCAUUUGGGGUCCCUCAGGGCUCCAUUCUCGGGCUUCAUCUGUUUUUAUUUUUGACAGCGCCUCUAAAGCUGAGGUGUCUAAAAAGAACCCAUAUGUGUGCCCCCAAACUGCAAUUUCAAAGUGAUUCAAAUUUGGCCAACCAGAAAAUGCAGUUGACACAGAUGGACACACUGACAAAAGAAUCCUUUUAAAAUGGAACACAGACACAACACAAAGUAUUUUUCUUUUAUUAAACUUUUUUUUGCUUUUAUUUAAAUUUUAUAGUAAAUGGGACGAGUGAACAGUAUUUAGUUUUUAUAUUAUGCUUUUCUUUUGAUAAGGAAAUAUUAAAGAUCCUUUUCAUGUUUUAGAUUUACAGUAAUUUAUAAAUCCUUUCUCUCAAAAAUCAAGCCACUGUCAUAUUAUGGCAUGUUUAGUUUAUUGUUGAACAGGUAAAAAAAAAACAAAAAAAACUCAAUUCUUGGCCUGAAAGUAUUUUCAAUUUGGCAACUUUGAUCCGUGUGGCAAAAAGCUUGGACACCAAUGCUUUAGAUGGCUUAUAAGCAGUUUCAGCAACAUAUUUGAUCUCUUAUAUAUGAAUGAGGAUCCAGUCUGUGGUCUCAUGUUUUUUUGUCUGAUCACUCAAAGCUGAACUAUGGUUUAUGUCAUCAUCUAAUUAAACAAACAGAAAUGUUGAACUUUUUACCCAACAGUUGUGUCAGGCAGCAAAAAGACAUGUAUUGUUUGUGAAUUGCCCAGGAAACCUUGGCUACUUUCACACUGCAGGUCUUGAUGCUCAAUUCCAAUUUUUUAAUGAAAUUCGAUUUUGAGUGGUUAUUUAAGCUACGGAUUGAAUGUGACCACCAUCAGAGCGACCAUACGCAGAAGGAGAAUGUAGACGUCGCACAGCAGCACAUUGUUUAUGUAAGUAAUAAAGGAUGCGAACGUAGCCUUAGUGUCAUGAUUGAUAAGGGAACUUCUUCAAAUUAUUAAUCAAAAUCAUUUAUACAUUUUACUCAGAAGGAAUGUUUUAAAAUUAAGAACUGUGGCAUAAGAAGCUUAAUUGGAGAUUUAUAUAUUUUUUCCUUCUAAUUUUUUUUUCCCUUUUAAUUUUUCCUUGUUUUAAUAGAAGCAUGUAUGUAUAUAUUUUCUUCUGGUAAAAAGUAAAUUUUUUAAAUAUAUUUCCCAAUAAAUCUAGGACAUGAUCAAUUCUUUUCACGUUUGCUGAUGCUUAGUUUGCUUCGGCAGAGAUUAAUGACUCGCCUAUUGGCACCAUUGGUAAAGAUGUAUAAAAAAGCUUCUAAAUAGAUUAAUCUUUUAUUGUAGUUGUCUGAGUCUGUAUGUGUGUGUGUGUGUUUUGGUGUACUUGUCUACAUAACCAUUCAGUUUCCAGUUGGUACUGGAGCUCUCAGGUGCGCUGGAUGACAGGUGUCUCCUAUCUGCUGAUUGCUUGGAGGAGUACUUAAGCGGGAGGCUGCCAGCACUUCGAUGCCAGAGUGUUUGCUUUAGUGGUUUUUACCUGAGGCUUUGUUUACCUUGCUGAGUACCGACUUUGUUCCAGAGGUUCUCUGAGCAUCUGGAUUAUCAACUACUGAGUUAAGGAUCUAUCUUCCUGUGGAUUUCUCUCACCACCGUCUGUACCUUUCGGGCACGGACCAAGCUGGCGGCUUCCCGUUUCCUCCAACUCCAGGACCCAGGCAUCAGCAUACCCUGUCCCUUCCUCCAUCUCGAACAUCAGCACCUGAGCUCCAUUUCGCUGGCACCAAGAUCAAACAACUAAACGAUCUUCCUUCGCAAGUUAAGACUCUGAAUCUCUCUACCCCUGGUGGUUCAAAGUACAACAAUUUAUUGGUGUUUCCAGUCCUCAUCCCAGAUUAUUUUGCUGACAAUAAAAUCUGUAAAACGUUCUCUUCUGAGUGUUCUCUGUAUGUGGGUCAGAUCUAUACCGAAAAUGACAGUAGUACUAUAAUUUCACACUGAAC